This 393-nucleotide ribosomal RNA is filed under the name uncultured bacterium. RNAcentral describes it as "bacterial SSU rRNA". It matches the Rfam family "Bacterial small subunit ribosomal RNA", at positions 469 to 860 of the family's 1533-position model. The record is from RNAcentral.
CUGACGGUACCUGAGGAAUAAGCACCGGCUAACUUCGUGCCAGCAGCCGCGGUAAUACGAAGGGUGCAAGCGUUAAUCGGAAUUACUGGGCGUAAAGGGUGCGUAGGCGGUUGUUUAAGUCUGUCGUGAAAUCCCCGGGCUCAACCUGGGAAUGGCGAUGGAUACUGGGCAGCUAGAGUGUGUCAGAGGAUGGUGGAAUUCCCGGUGUAGCGGUGAAAUGCGUAGAGAUCGGGAGGAACAUCAGUGGCGAAGGCGGCCAUCUGGGACAACACUGACGCUGAAGCACGAAAGCGUGGGGAGCAAACAGGAUUAGAUACCCUGGUAGUCCACGCCCUAAACGAUGCGAACUGGAUGUUGGUCUCAACUCGGAGAUCAGUGUCGAAGCUAACGCGU